CCUGUAGCUCAGAUGGAUAGAGCAGUUGAUUCCUAAUCAAAAGGUCGCAGGUUCGACUCCCGCCAGG
RNAcentral lists this transfer RNA (67 nucleotides) under human gut metagenome. It matches the Rfam family "tRNA". Rfam says of the family: Transfer RNA (tRNA) molecules are approximately 80 nucleotides in length. Their secondary structure includes four short double-helical elements and three loops (D, anti-codon, and T loops). Further hydrogen bonds mediate the characteristic L-shaped molecular structure. tRNAs have two regions of fundamental functional importance: the anti-codon, which is responsible for specific mRNA codon recognition, and the 3' end, to which the tRNAs corresponding amino acid is attached (by aminoacyl-tRNA synthetases). tRNAs cope with the degeneracy of the genetic code in two manners: having more than one tRNA (with a specific anti-codon) for a particular amino acid; and 'wobble' base-pairing, i.e. permitting non-standard base-pairing at the 3rd anti-codon position. The record is from RNAcentral. RNAcentral also lists the same sequence under 1 other name.